CUCGUAUGUUACUCGUAUGUACUCGUGUGUUACUCGUAUGUACUCGUAUGUUACUCGUAUGUACUCGUGUGUUACUCGUAUGUACUCGUAUGUACUUGUGUGUUACUCGUAUGUUACUCGUAUGUACUCGUGUGGUGUUUUAGUCACGAUCGACUUAAAAAAGGCUGAAAAAGUUUUUUGGACCAUAUCCGCGUUUUAUCCCUUUGGAUAAAUCGCGGAUAUCACUUAAAAAGGGCUGAAAAACGAUUUUUGGACCAUAUCCGCGUUUUAUCAAACUAACAUUCUGCGAGUCAACAUGGCGGUCAUGCCAAAUGAUAGCUCCGAUAAAAAUAUAUUAAACCAGCUCCAAAAUAAUUUCUUUAACGUUCAAGACAAGUACAAGGUGCUUGUUGAAUAUGACAGUAGCAAUGACAGAGUGAAAUGGAACAGCAACUUUGAGAAUUUGAAAACUUUUGUGGCCGAUUUGUUUGGCGAACAAAGCAAGUGGAUUUCUCCUGGCGGGCGAGCAAAAUCCUUUCGCAGUAGCCAAGUCUCAAUUACCU
This is a non-coding RNA of Paramuricea clavata, 542 nucleotides long. The record is from the annotation of a GenBank genome assembly. NCBI's taxonomy places the organism in Eukaryota, Metazoa, Cnidaria, Anthozoa, Malacalcyonacea, Plexauridae.